Molecule: transfer RNA, 82 nt
Filed under: Synechococcus phage S-PM2
Lineage: Duplodnaviria; Heunggongvirae; Uroviricota; Caudoviricetes; Pantevenvirales; Kyanoviridae
Description: tRNA-Tyr
Source: RNAcentral
UACAGCAAAUGUAGAUAAUUAUGCUCAAGAUGCUGCAAAUAGAAUUGAAGAUAACAAGCAGUUCAUCCAAUCUGAAGCAUAU